This 449-nucleotide ribosomal RNA is filed under the name uncultured bacterium. Its description in RNAcentral is "bacterial SSU rRNA". It matches the Rfam family "Bacterial small subunit ribosomal RNA", at positions 329 to 793 of the family's 1533-position model. The record is from RNAcentral.
GACCAGACUCCUACGGGAGGCAGCAGUGGGGGAUAUUGCACAAUGGGGGAAACCCUGAUGCAGCGACGCCGCGUGGGCGAAGAAGUAUUUCGGUAUGUAAAGCCCUAUCAGCAGGGAAGAAGAAAUGACGGUACCUGAGUAAGAAGCACCGGCUAAAUACGUGCCAGCAGCCGCGGUAAUACGUAUGGUGCAAGCGUUAUCCGGAUUUACUGGGUGUAAAGGGAGCGCAGGCGGCACGGCAAGCCUGAUGUGAAAGCCCGCGGCCCAACCGCGGGACUGCAUUGGGAACUACCGGGCUGGAGUGCCGGAGGGGCAGGCGGAAUUCCUAGUGUAGCGGUGAAAUGCGUAGAUAUUAGGAGGAACACCAGUGGCGAAGGCGGCCUGCUGGACUGCAGCUGACGUUGAGGCUCGAAGGCGUGGGGAGCAAACAGGAUUAGAUACCCCAGUAA